GAUGAACGCUGGCGGCGUGCCUAAUACAUGCAAGUCGAGCGAACAGACGAGGAGUUUGCUCCUCUGACGUUAGCGGCGGACGGGUGAGUAACACGUGGAUAACCUACCUAUAAGACUGGGAUAACUUCGGGAAACCGGAUCUAAUACCGGAUAAUAUAUUGAACCGCAUGGUUCAAUAGUGAAAGACGGCUUUGCUGUCACUUAUAGAUGGAUCCGCGCCGCAUUAGCUAGUUGGUAAGGUAACGGCUUACCAAGGCAACGAUGCGUAGCCGACCUGAGAGGGUGAUCGGCCACACUGGAACUGAGACACGGUCCAGACUCCUACGGGAGGCAGCAGUAGGGAAUCUUCCGCAAUGGGCGAAAGCCUGACGGAGCAACGCCGCGUGUGUGAUGAAGGUCUUCGGAUCGUAAAACUCUGUUAUUAGGGAAGAACAAAUGUGUAAGUAACUAUGCACGUCUUGACGGUACCUAAUCAGAAAGCCACGGCUAACUACGUG
This 497-nucleotide ribosomal RNA is filed under the name uncultured bacterium. RNAcentral describes it as "partial 16S ribosomal RNA". It matches the Rfam family "Bacterial small subunit ribosomal RNA", at positions 28 to 507 of the family's 1533-position model. The record is from RNAcentral.